RNAcentral lists this ribosomal RNA (520 nucleotides) under Phylladiorhynchus lini. RNAcentral's name for it is "partial large subunit ribosomal RNA". It matches the Rfam family "Archaeal large subunit ribosomal RNA", at positions 1911 to 2666 of the family's 2987-position model. Lineage: Eukaryota; Metazoa; Arthropoda; Malacostraca; Decapoda; Galatheidae. The record is from RNAcentral.
CUCUUUAUUUAAUGUUUUAAAGUCUAACCUGCCCACUGAAAAAUUAAAUGGCCGCGGUAUUUUGACCGUGCAAAGGUAGCAUAAUAAUUUGUUUUUUAAUUGAAAACUUGAAUGAAAGGUUGGACAAAAAACAAACUGUUUUUAAUUUUAAGUUUUAACUUUACUUUUAGGUGAAAAGGCCUAAAUAUUUUUUAAAGACGAUAAGACCCUAUAAAGCUUUAUAAUAUAUAAUUUUAAAAAAUUUAUGUAGUUUAAUAAAUGUUAAUUUUUUUUGUGUUAUUUUAUUGGGGUGAUAAAAAUAUUAAAAUAAAAAACUGUUUUUAUUACAUAACAAAGAUAUUUGAUGAAAUUUAUUGAUCCUUAAAUUUAAGAUUUAAAGUUUAAGUUACUUUAGGGAUAACAGCGUAAUUUUUUUUGAGAGUUCUUAUCGAAAAAAAAGUUUGCGACCUCGAUGUUGAAUUAGAAUUUCUUUAUUGGUGCAGAAGCCAUAAAAGUAAGUCUGUUCGACUUUUAAAAUUCU